AGUCGACGGAAGGCCCUUCGGGGUACUCGAGUGGCGAACGGGUGAGUAACACGUGGGUGAUCUGCCCUGCACUUUGGGAUAAGCCUGGGAAACUGGGUCUAAUACCGAAUAGGACCACGCGCUUCAUGGUGUGUGGUGGAAAGCUUUUGCGGUGUGGGAUGGGCCCGCGGCCUAUCAGCUUGUUGGUGGGGUAAUGGCCUACCAAGGCGACGACGGGUAGCCGGCCUGAGAGGGUGACCGGCCACACUGGGACUGAGAUACGGCCCAGACUCCUACGGGAGGCAGCAGUGGGGAAUAUUGCACAAUGGGCGCAAGCCUGAUGCAGCGACGCCGCGUGAGGGAUGACGGCCUUCGGGUUGUAAACCUCUUUCAAUAGGGACGAAGCGCAAGUGACGGUACCUAUAGAAGAAGCACCGGCCAACUACGUGCCAGCAGCCGCGGUAAUACGUAGGGUGCGAGCGUUGUCCGGAAUUACUGGGCGUAAAGAGCUCGUAGGUGGUUUGUCGCGUUGUUCGUGAAAACUCACAGCUUAACUGUGGGCGUGCGGGCGAUACGGGCAGACUAGAGUACUGCAGGGGAGACUGGAAUUCCUGGUGUAGCGGUGGAAUGCGCAGAUAUCAGGAGGAACACCGGUGGCGAAGGCGGGUCUCUGGGCAGUAACUGACGCUGAGGAGCGAAAGCGUGGGGAGCGAACAGGAUUAGAUACCCUGGUAGUCCACGCCGUANACGGUGGGUACUAGGUGUGGGNNNCNUCCUUGGGAUCCGUGCCGUAGCUAACNNNNNNNGUACCCCGCC
RNAcentral lists this ribosomal RNA (795 nucleotides) under uncultured bacterium. Its description in RNAcentral is "bacterial SSU rRNA". It matches the Rfam family "Bacterial small subunit ribosomal RNA", at positions 60 to 873 of the family's 1533-position model. The record is from RNAcentral.